Molecule: ribosomal RNA, 631 nt
Filed under: uncultured Haemophilus sp.
Lineage: Bacteria; Pseudomonadati; Pseudomonadota; Gammaproteobacteria; Pasteurellales; Pasteurellaceae
Description: bacterial SSU rRNA
Rfam family: Bacterial small subunit ribosomal RNA
Source: RNAcentral
AUUGAACGCUGGCGGCAGGCUUAACACAUGCAAGUCGAACGGUAGCAGGAGAAAGCUUGCUUUCUUGCUGACGAGUGGCGGACGGGUGAGUAAUGCUUGGGAAUCUGGCUUAUGGAGGGGGAUAACGACGGGAAACUGUCGCUAAUACCGCGUAGUGUCGAGAGACGAAAGUGCGGGACCGCAAGGCCGCAUGCCAUGAGAUGAGCCCAAGUGGGAUUAGGUAGUUGGUGGGGUAAAGGCCUACCAAGCCUGCGAUCUCUAGCUGGUCUGAGAGGAUGACCAGCCACACUGGAACUGAGACACGGUCCAGACUCCUACGGGAGGCAGCAGUGGGGAAUAUUGCGCAAUGGGGGCAACCCUGACGCAGCCAUGCCGCGUGAAUGAAGAAGGCCUUCGGGUUGUAAAGUUCUUUCGGUAUUGAGGAAGGAGCGUAUGUUAAUAGCAUACAUUAUUGACGUUAAAUACAGAAGAAGCACCGGCUAACUCCGUGCCAGCAGCCGCGGUAAUACGGAGGGGUGGGAGCGUUAAUCGAAUAACUGGGCGUAAAGGGCACGCAGGCGGUUAUUUAAGUGAGGGUGUGAAAGCCCCGGGUUUAGCCUGGGUAUAUCUUUCUCACUGGGCAACUCCAGGA